GACGGACGCUGGCGGCGUGCCUAAUACAUGCAAGUCGAGCGAGCGGAACUAACAGAUUUACUUCGGUAAUGACGUUAGGAAAGCGAGCGGCGGAUGGGUGAGUAACACGUGGGGAACCUGCCCCAUAGUCUGGGAUACCACUUGGAAACAGGUGCUAAUACCGGAUAAGAAAGCAGAUCGCAUGAUCAGCUUUUAAAAGGCGGCGUAAGCUGUCGCUAUGGGAUGGCCCCGCGGUGCAUUAGCUAGUUGGUAAGGUAAAGGCUUACCAAGGCGAUGAUGCAUAGCCGAGUUGAGAGACUGACCGGCCACAUUGGGACUGAGACACGGCCCAAACUCCUACGGGAGGCAGCAGUAGGGAAUCUUCCACAAUGGACGCAAGUCUGAUGGAGCAACGCCGCGUGAGUGAAGAAGGUUUUCGGAUCGUAAAGCUCUGUUGUUGGUGAAGAAGGAUAGAGGUAGUAACUGGCCUUUAUUUGACGGUAAUCAACCAGAAAGUCACGGCUAACUACGUGCCAGCAGCCGCGGUAAUACGUAGGUGGCAAGCGUUGUCCGGAUUUAUUGGGCGUAAAGCGAGCGCAGGCGGAAGAAUAAGUCUGAUGUGAAAGCCCUCGGCUUAACCGAGGAACUGCAUCGGAAACUGUUUUUCUUGAGUGCAGAAGAGGAGAGUGGAACUCCAUGUGUAGCGGUGGAAUGCGUAGAUAUAUGGAAGAACACCAGUGGCGAAGGCGGCUCUCUGGUCUGCAACUGACGCUGAGGCUCGAAAGCAUGGGUAGCGAACAGGAUUAGAUACCCUGGUAGUCCAUGCCGUAAACGAUGAGUGCUAAGUGUUGGGAGGUUUCCGCCUCUCAGUGCUGCAGCUAACGCAUUAAGCACUCCGCCUGGGGAGUACGACCGCAAGGUUGAAACCCAAAGGAAUUGACGGGGGCCCGCACAAGCGGUGGAGCAUGUGGUUUAAUUCGAAGCAACGCGAAGAACCUUACCAGGUCUUGACAUCUAGUGCCAUUUGUAGAGAUACAAAGUUCCCUUCGGGGACGCUAAGACAGGUGGUGCAUGGCUGUCGUCAGCUCGUGUCGUGAGAUGUUGGGUUAAGUCCCGCAACGAGCGCAACCCUUGUUAUUAGUUGCCAGCAUUAAGUUGGGCACUCUAAUGAGACUGCCGGUGACAAACCGGAGGAAGGUGGGGAUGACGUCAAGUCAUCAUGCCCCUUAUGACCUGGGCUACACACGUGCUACAAUGGGCAGUACAACGAGAAGCGAGCCUGCGAAGGCAAGCGAAUCUCUGAAAGCUGUUUUCAGUUCGGACUGCAGUCUGCAACUCGACUGCACGAAGCUGGAAUCGCUAGUAAUCGCGGAUCAGCACGCCGCGGUGAAUACGUUCCCGGGCCU
This 1385-nucleotide ribosomal RNA is filed under the name uncultured bacterium. RNAcentral describes it as "bacterial SSU rRNA". It matches the Rfam family "Bacterial small subunit ribosomal RNA", at positions 28 to 1381 of the family's 1533-position model. The record is from RNAcentral.